GACGAACGCUGGCGGCGUGCCUAAUACAUGCAAGUCGAGCGGACUUGAUGGAGUGCUUGCACUCCUGAAGGUUAGCGGCGGACGGGUGAGUAACACGUAGGCAACCUGCCCUCAAGACUGGGAUAACUACCGGAAACGGUAGCUAAUACCGGAUAAUUUAUUUUGCAGCAUUGUGAAAUAAUGAAAGGCGGAGCAAUCUGUCACUUGAGGAUGGGCCUGCGGCGCAUUAGCUAGUUGGUGGGGUAACGGCUCACCAAGGCGACGAUGCGUAGCCGACCUGAGAGGGUGAACGGCCACACUGGGACUGAGACACGGCCCAGACUCCUACGGGAGGCAGCAGUAGGGAAUCUUCCGCAAUGGGCGAAAGCCUGACGGAGCAACGCCGCGUGAGUGAUGAAGGUUUUCGGAUCGUAAAGCUCUGUUGCCAAGGAAGAACGUCUUCUAGAGUAACUGCUAGGAGAGUGACGGUACUUGAGAAGAAAGCCCCGGCUAACUACG
Molecule: ribosomal RNA, 498 nt
Filed under: uncultured bacterium
Lineage: Bacteria
Description: bacterial SSU rRNA
Rfam family: Bacterial small subunit ribosomal RNA
Source: RNAcentral